This 740-nucleotide long non-coding RNA is filed under the name Homo sapiens (human). RNAcentral describes it as "HSALNT0367013". Lineage: Eukaryota; Metazoa; Chordata; Mammalia; Primates; Hominidae. The record is from RNAcentral.
UGCACGCCGCGGGGGAGGGGAAGAGAGCACGCUAGUUGGAGAGCACGAGAAAACAAACGGCCACCCCCACCUCGCCUCCAACCCCACAAUUUUCAUAAUUAACUCUAGCUGUAAAUAAGAAAACAUACGUGGCAACAUCUCGGAAAUACACUUAGAUUUACUGUCAGUUCUGAGAAGUCAGGCUUGUGAACCAUGGUCCUAUCCUGGCAUCAAUUCAAGUAAACAUGACUGCCAAAGAAUUUUUCAAGGUCCAGAUGAGUUGAUAUCAGAUACUGAUCAAGGCACACCUGAAAGUCCAAGAACCUGAGAUUGAAGGGUAUGCUACCUAUUGAAACCACUCUUCAACAGGAAGCAGGGAAAUGUGAAGUGACUUCAGUAACAGAAGAAUGUAAAUAAGUCUCUUUAUAACUGAAGGGGUUAUUGAGAUUACUUCAGAAGUUUUAAAGUAAUUUGAAUAAAUUAUCAUACGUUUUUUCCUGAUUUCAAUGUCUCUACUCAAAAAGAGGUUGUUCAAAAUUGAACGAAAUGUCUCCAGACAAGAACCGCUGCAUUCAGGCCAACCAUCCGAUUCGAUGCCUUCGGGGUGGAGAGAGGGAGAAAGUAAAAGGCACCAAAUCACCCUAGUUGCCCAGGCCUAAAAGGCAGGGUGUCAUUUUUGAUUUCCUUCAAGAAACUUCCAGAUUGGAGUGCAGUGGCACGAUCCUGGCUCACUGCAACCUCUGCCUCCCGGGUUCAAGAGA